Non-coding RNA from Triticum aestivum (bread wheat), 136 nucleotides. The record is from Rfam. NCBI's taxonomy places the organism in Eukaryota, Viridiplantae, Streptophyta, Magnoliopsida, Poales, Poaceae.
AACGUACUCCCUCCGUUCCAUAAUACAUGCCUUCUAUUUGUCAAAAUAUAGAUGUAUCUAGACAUGUUUUAGUAUAUAGGUAUAUCCAUUUUUGGAUAAAUGGAAGUCAAGUAUUUUGGAACAAAGGGAGUAAAUG